RNAcentral lists this ribosomal RNA (253 nucleotides) under uncultured bacterium. RNAcentral describes it as "partial 16S ribosomal RNA". It matches the Rfam family "Bacterial small subunit ribosomal RNA", at positions 524 to 776 of the family's 1533-position model. The record is from RNAcentral.
UACGAAGGAUCCAAGCGUUAUCCGGAUUCACUGGGUUUAAAGGGUGCGUAGGUGGGUUGGUAAGUCAGUGGUGAAAUCCCCGAGCUUAACUUGGGAACUGCCAUUGAUACUAUCAGUCUUGAAUACCGUGGAGGUCAGCGGAAUAUGUCAUGUAGCGGUGAAAUGCUUAGAUAUGACAUAGAACACCAAUUGCGAAGGCAGCUGGCUACACGAAUAUUGACACUCAGGCACGAAAGCGUGGGGAUCAAACAGG